Molecule: ribosomal RNA, 495 nt
Filed under: uncultured bacterium
Lineage: Bacteria
Description: partial 16S ribosomal RNA
Rfam family: Bacterial small subunit ribosomal RNA
Source: RNAcentral
AACGAACGCUGGCGGCGUGCUUAACACAUGCAAGUCGAGCGAAGCACUUUGGAAAGAUUCUUCGGAUGAUUUCCUUUGUGACUGAGCGGCGGACGGGUGAGUAACGCGUGGGUAACCUGCCUCAUACAGGGGGAUAACAGUUAGAAAUGACUGCUAACACCGCAUAAGACCACAGUGCCGCAUGGUACAGUGGUAAAAACUCCGGUGGUAUGAGAGGGACCCGCGUCUGAUUAGGUAGUUGGUGGGGUAACGGCCUACCAAGCCGACGAUCAGUAGCCGACCUGAGAAGGUGACCGGCCACAUUGGGACUGGGACACGGCCCAGACUCCUACGGGAGGCAGCAGUGGGGAAUAUUGCACAAUGGAGGAAACUCUGAUGCAGCGACGCCGCGUGAAGGAUGAAGUAUUUCGGUAUGUAAACUUCUAUCAGCAGGGAAGAAAAUGACUGUACCUGACUAAGAAGCCCCGGCUAACUACGUGCCAGCAGCCGCCGUAA